GGGAGAGGAGAGGAGACAAGGGGAAGGAAAUAAGGAGAGAGGAGAAUAGGAGGUAAAGAGGAUGGAGGGUAAGGACAUAAAAGAGGAGAGUCAGUCCAAUAAAAUCUCAGUUCUUUCUUUUAGCUGCGUCCCAGUUGGUGUUUUUCACAGGAAGGUCG
Molecule: long non-coding RNA, 158 nt
Organism: Sebastes umbrosus (honeycomb rockfish)
Lineage: Eukaryota; Metazoa; Chordata; Actinopteri; Perciformes; Sebastidae
Exons: 3
Source: RefSeq, a predicted model, not a curated record